UGUCUCCCUCGCAGCUGGCUUUCACGUGCACAAGAUAUGGGUUUGCUAUCUCAUGUUGUUGUACACUGUAUGCUUUCCCUAUGCGCAAGAAUGUAACCAGUUAGAAGUGUUGUAAGCAGAGAGGUUUUUCGGCUUGAGGCUUUUAAGGCUUUCUGGCUACCACA
Long non-coding RNA from Malaclemys terrapin pileata, 164 nucleotides. RefSeq lists it as uncharacterized. NCBI's taxonomy places the organism in Eukaryota, Metazoa, Chordata, Testudines, Emydidae. The record is from RefSeq and is a predicted model, not a curated record. The transcript is spliced from 2 exons.